GAUGAACGCUGGCGGCGUGCCUAAUACAUGCAAGUCGAGCGAACGGACGAGAAGCUUGCUUCUCUGAUGUUAGCGGCGGACGGGUGAGUAACACGUGGAUAACCCACCUAUAAGACUGGGAUAACUUCGGGAAACCGGAGCUAAUACCGGAUAAUAUUUUGAACCGCAUGGUUCAAAAGUGAAAGACGGUCUUGCUGCCACGUAUAGAUGGAUCCGCGCUGCAUUAGCUAGUUGGUAAGGUAACGGCUUACCAAGGCAACGAUGCAUAGCCGACCUGAGAGGGUGAUCGGCCACACUGGAACUGAGACACGGUCCAGACUCCUACGGGAGGCAGCAGUAGGGAAUCUUCCGCAAUGGGCGAAAGCCUGACGGAGCAACGCCGCGUGAGUGAUGAAGGUCUUCGGAUCGUAAAACUCUGUUAUUAGGGAAGAACAUAUGUGUAAGUAUCUGUGCACAUCUUGACGGUACCUAAUCAGAAAGCCACGGCUAACUACGUG
This 497-nucleotide ribosomal RNA is filed under the name uncultured bacterium. RNAcentral describes it as "partial 16S ribosomal RNA". It matches the Rfam family "Bacterial small subunit ribosomal RNA", at positions 28 to 507 of the family's 1533-position model. The record is from RNAcentral.